AGGUGAUUGAUGCCCGGUGAGAGGGUGAAAGGGACCUAUACCCCCGUCAGCUGCAGGAAAGGAACAAAGAGACAGGUGAUUAAUGCCCGGUGAGAGGGUCAAAGGGACCUAUACCCCCGUCAGCUGCAGGAAAGGAACAAAGAGACAGGUGAUUGAUGCCCGGUGAGAGGGUGAAAGGGACCUAUACCCCCGUCAGCUGCAGGAAAGGAACAAAGAGACAGGUGAUUAAUGCCCGGUGAGAGGGUCAAAGGGACCUAUACCCCCGUCAGCUGCAGGAAAGGAACAAAGAGACAGGUGAUUAAUGCCCGGUGAGAGGGUCAAAGGGACCUAUACCCCCGUCAGCUGCAGGAAAGGAACAAAGAGACAGGUGAUUGAUGCCCGGUGAGAGGGUGAAAGGGACCUAUACCCCCGUCAGCUGCAGGAAAGGAACAAAGAGACAGGUAAUUAAU
Molecule: long non-coding RNA, 449 nt
Organism: Hyla sarda
Lineage: Eukaryota; Metazoa; Chordata; Amphibia; Anura; Hylidae
Exons: 6
Source: RefSeq, a predicted model, not a curated record